CCUACGGGAGGCAGCAGUGAGGAAUAUUGGACAAUGGGCGCAAGCCUGAUCCAGCCAUGCCGCGUGCAGGAAGAAGCAUCUAUGGUGUGUAAACUGCUUUUGUACAGGAAGAAACACUCCCUCGUGAGGGAGCUUGACGGUACUGUAAGAAUAAGGACCGGCUAACUCCGUGCCAGCAGCCGCGGUAAUACGGAGGGUCCGAGCGUUAUCCGGAAUCAUUGGGGUUUAAAGGGUCCGUAGGCGGUUUAAUAAGUCAGUGGUGAAAUCUGGUCGCUCAACGAUCAAACGGCCAUUGAUACUGUUAGACUUGAAUUAUAAGGAAGUAACUAGAAUAUGUAGUGUAGCGGUGAAAUGCUUAGAUAUUACAUGGAAUACCAAUUGCGAAGGCAGGUUACUACUUAUGGAUUGACGCUGAUGGACGAAAGCGUGGGGAGCGGAACAGGAUUAGAUACCCUGGUAGUCCACGCCGUAAACGAUGGAUACUAGCUGUUCGGAGCAAUNUGAGUGNGUAGACGAAGUAGAGUAAGUAUCCACCGUCGGGAGGUACGUUCGACGAAGAAGAGAACGACGAAAGAAAGUUAGACGGCGUAGAGACGUAGACCGACGGACGACGACGAGGGGAGGAGGG
This 628-nucleotide ribosomal RNA is filed under the name uncultured bacterium. RNAcentral's name for it is "bacterial SSU rRNA". The stretch from base 1 to 535 matches the Rfam family "Bacterial small subunit ribosomal RNA", at positions 338 to 873 of the family's 1533-position model. The record is from RNAcentral.